RNAcentral lists this transfer RNA (65 nucleotides) under Dipodomys ordii (Ord's kangaroo rat). It matches the Rfam family "tRNA". Rfam says of the family: Transfer RNA (tRNA) molecules are approximately 80 nucleotides in length. Lineage: Eukaryota; Metazoa; Chordata; Mammalia; Rodentia; Heteromyidae. The record is from Rfam by way of RNAcentral.
GGUGGCUCAGUGGUAGAGUGCUUGCCUUGUAUGCAUGAAGCCCUGGGUUCAAUUCCUCAGCACCA